ACAGGUCACCAAGACAGAAUUGCCCAAGGCCACCAGCAUCAUUGUGGAAUCCUCCAGCUCUUCAUUGGUGACCAUUCUACAGGCUGUGCGGAGUCCAGGAAGGGCUGAUAAUUUCUCCUUCACUGUAGAUGAGUCUGUGAGAAACCUGACUGCUUAUGUUACAGGAAGCUCCCUCUCCUUCACUCUCACCAGCCCCUCAGGUGUGUCCCAGAGUAGCGGGGAGGUAAAUGGGUCUCUGGCAACGAUUAAAACCGUGGGGAACUUCCUCACACUGGGGCUGGACAGCCAAGCGGGAUUAUGGGAAAUCAGUGUGUCGGUCAACUGUGCCCUACUCACUGAAGGUCGUAGGUCAGAGCGCCAUCGACUUCCUGUUUGACUUUGUGGAGGUGUCCCAGGGACCUCAUCCAGCCUUCGCUGUUUUAGAGUCCCGUCCUCAAGCUGGCGGUAAUGCCACCCUGCUGGUGUCAGUGACGGGAGUGAAUCUGUGAGUCUGACGGAGGUGGCCCUGGUUGAGGCCUCGGGGUCAGGGGAGGUCAGUGGAACCUUGGAAUCAGUCGGCAGCGGAGACUUCCUGGUUACCAUGGACAGAAUCCCGGAUGGGGAGUUUGUUGUGCGUCUGAGAGGAGAGAACAGCGCCACCACCAGGGCAUUACCAGACAGCUUCCAGAGACAGUCCUCCACCCGCCUCAGAGCCUCCACUGUUAUGGUGACGGCUAAGGCAGAAAGUGACCUGGAGCCUGGAACACCCUUUUCAGUCCUGUUCACUGUGACAACCAACGGAACAGGC
This is a non-coding RNA of Salmo salar (Atlantic salmon), 787 nucleotides long. The record is from RefSeq and is a predicted model, not a curated record. Lineage: Eukaryota; Metazoa; Chordata; Actinopteri; Salmoniformes; Salmonidae.